AGAGUUUGAUCAUGGCUCAGGACGAACGCUGGCGGCGUGCUUAACGCAUGCAAGUCGAACGGAAAGGCCCUUCGGGGUACUCGAGUGGCGAACGGGUGAGUAACACGUGGGUGAUCUGCCCUGCACUUUGGGAUAAGCCUGGGAAACUGGGUCUAAUACCGAAUAUGACCACGCUCUUCAUGGGGUGUGGUGGAAAGCUUUUGCGGUGUGGGAUGGGCCCGCGGCCUAUCAGCUUGUUGGUGGGGUAAUGGCCUACCAAGGCGACGACGGGUAGCCGGCCUGAGAGGGUGACCGGCCACACUGGGACUGAGAUACGGCCCAGACUCCUACGGGAGGCAGCAGUGGGGAAUAUUGCACAAUGGGCGCAAGCCUGAUGCAGCGACGCCGCGUGAGGGAUGACGGCCUUCGGGUUGUAAACCUCUUUCACCAGGGACGAAGCGCAAGUGACGGUACCUGGAGAAGAAGCACCGGCCAACUACGUGCCAGCAGCCGCGGUAAUACGUAGGGUGCGAGCGUUGUCCGGAAUUACUGGGCGUAAAGAGCUCGUAGGUGGUUUGUCGCGUUGUUCGUGAAAACUCACAGCUUAACUGUGGGCGUGCGGGCGAUACGGGCAGACUAGAGUACUGCAGGGGAGACUGGAAUUCCUGGUGUAGCGGUGGAAUGCGCAGAUAUCAGGAGGAACACCGGUGGCGAAGGCGGGUCUCUGGGCAGUAACUGACGCUGAGGAGCGAAAGCGUGGGGAGCGAACAGGAUUAGAUACCCUGGUAGUCCAA
RNAcentral lists this ribosomal RNA (773 nucleotides) under uncultured bacterium. Its description in RNAcentral is "bacterial SSU rRNA". It matches the Rfam family "Bacterial small subunit ribosomal RNA", at positions 8 to 798 of the family's 1533-position model. The record is from RNAcentral.